RNAcentral lists this ribosomal RNA (582 nucleotides) under uncultured bacterium. RNAcentral describes it as "partial 16S ribosomal RNA". It matches the Rfam family "Bacterial small subunit ribosomal RNA", at positions 355 to 926 of the family's 1533-position model. The record is from RNAcentral.
UGGGGAAUAUUGCACAGUGGGCGCAAGCCUGAUGCAGCCAUGCCGCGUGUGUGAAGAAGGCCUUCGGGUUGUAAAGCACCUUCAGCGAGGAGGAAGGUGGUGAGCUUAAUACGCUCAUCAAUUGACGUUACUCGCAGAAGAAGCACCGGCUAACUCCGUGCCAGCAGCCGCGGUAAUACGGAGGGUGCAAGCGUUAAUCGGAAUUACUGGGCGUAAAGCGCACGCAGGCGGUUUGUUAAGUCAGAUGUGAAAUCCCCGGGCUCAACCUGGGAACUGCAUUUGAAACUGGCAAGCUAGAGUCUCGUAGAGGGGGGUAGAAUUUCCAGGUGUAGCGGUGAAAUGCGUAGAGAUCUGGAGGAAUACCGGUGGCGAAGGCGGCCCCCUGGACGAAGACUGACGCUCAGGUGCGAAAGCGUGGGGCAGCAAACAGGAUUAGAUACCCUGGUAGUCCAGCGCUGUAAACGAUGUCGAUUUUGGAGGUUGUGCCCUUGAGGCGUGGCUUCCGGAGCUAACGCGUUAAAUCGACCGCCUGGGGAGUACGGCCGCAAGGUUAAAACUCAAAUGAAUUGCGGGGUCUAGCUG